RNAcentral lists this transfer RNA (73 nucleotides) under Puniceicoccales bacterium. RNAcentral's name for it is "tRNA-Thr". It matches the Rfam family "tRNA". Rfam says of the family: Transfer RNA (tRNA) molecules are approximately 80 nucleotides in length. Their secondary structure includes four short double-helical elements and three loops (D, anti-codon, and T loops). Further hydrogen bonds mediate the characteristic L-shaped molecular structure. tRNAs have two regions of fundamental functional importance: the anti-codon, which is responsible for specific mRNA codon recognition, and the 3' end, to which the tRNAs corresponding amino acid is attached (by aminoacyl-tRNA synthetases). tRNAs cope with the degeneracy of the genetic code in two manners: having more than one tRNA (with a specific anti-codon) for a particular amino acid; and 'wobble' base-pairing, i.e. permitting non-standard base-pairing at the 3rd anti-codon position. The record is from RNAcentral. Lineage: Bacteria; Pseudomonadati; Verrucomicrobiota; Opitutia; Puniceicoccales.
GCCGACUUAGCUCAGCUGGUAGAGCACCCGCCUUGUAAGCGGACGGUCGUCAGUUCGAAUCUGACAGUCGGCU